GAUGAACGCUGGCGGCGUGCUUAACACAUGCCAGUCGAACGGAAAGGCCCAAGCUUGCUUGGGUACUCGAGUGGCGAACGGGUGAGUAACACGUGGGUGAUCUGCCCUGCACUUCGGGAUAAGCCUGGGAAACUGGGUCUAAUACCGGAUAGGACGAUGGUUUGGAUGCCAUUGUGGAAAGUUUUUUCGGUGUGGGAUGAGCUCGCGGCCUAUCAGCUUGUUGGUGGGGUAAUGGCCUACCAAGGCGUCGACGGGUAGCCGGCCUGAGAGGGUGUACGGCCACAUUGGGGCUGAGAUACGGCCCAGACUCCUACGGGGGGCAGCAGUGGGGAAUAUUGCACAAUGGGCGCAAGCCUGAUGCAGCGACGCCGCGUGGGGGAUGACGGCCUUCGGGUUGUAAACUCCUUUCGCUAGGGACGAAGCGUUUUUGUGACGGUACCUGGAGAAGAAGCACCGGCUAACUACGUG
Molecule: ribosomal RNA, 468 nt
Filed under: uncultured bacterium
Lineage: Bacteria
Description: partial 16S ribosomal RNA
Rfam family: Bacterial small subunit ribosomal RNA
Source: RNAcentral